CGAAACCAAGAAAUAACCCCUUAUGUGCGAAAUUAUAGAAGAUCCCCUUUAAGAUCAAACAAUUCCAGCAAAUUGAGUAUGAUUGUAUGUGUGAUAGCCUCUACUAUACCGGGAAUAUCAAUGAACCCCAUUCUUGCAAUUGCUCAGGAUACCCUCUUUUAG
This 162-nucleotide ribosomal RNA is filed under the name Triticum aestivum (bread wheat). RNAcentral describes it as "partial small subunit ribosomal RNA". Lineage: Eukaryota; Viridiplantae; Streptophyta; Magnoliopsida; Poales; Poaceae. The record is from RNAcentral.